RNAcentral lists this ribosomal RNA (253 nucleotides) under uncultured bacterium. Its description in RNAcentral is "partial 16S ribosomal RNA". It matches the Rfam family "Bacterial small subunit ribosomal RNA", at positions 524 to 776 of the family's 1533-position model. The record is from RNAcentral.
UACGGAGGGUGCGAGCGUUGUCCGGAAUCACUGGGCGUAAAGCGUGCGUAGGCGGCCCUGUCAGUCAACGGUGAAAGCUUGGGGCUCAACCUCGAGUCGGCCGUCGAUACUCCCGGGCUGGAGCACUGUAGAGGCAGGUGGAAUUCCGGGUGUAGCGGUGGAAUGCGUAGAGAUCCGGAAGAACACCGGUGGCGAAGGCGGCCUGCUGGGCAGUGGCUGACGCUGAGGCGCGACAGCGUGGGGAGCAAACAGG